AUUGAACGCUGGCGGCAUGCCUUACACAUGCAAGUCGAACGGUAACAGGUCUUCGGACGCUGACGAGUGGCGAACGGGUGAGUAAUACAUCGGAACGUGCCUAGUAGUGGGGGAUAACUACUCGAAAGAGUGGCUAAUACCGCAUGAGAUCUACGGAUGAAAGCAGGGGCUCGCAAGACCUUGUGCUACUAGCGCGGCCGAUGGCAGAUUAGGUAGUUGGUGGGAUAAAAGCUUACCAAGCCGACGAUCUGUAGCUGGUCUGAGAGGACGAUCAGCCACACUGGGACUGAGACACGGCCCAGACUCCUACGGGAGGCAGCAGUGGGGAAUUUUGGACAAUGGGCGCAAGCCUGAUCCAGCAAUGCCGCGUGCAGGAUGAAGGCCUUCGGGUUGUAAACUGCUUUUGUACGGAACGAAAAGCCCCGGGUUAAUACCCUGGGGUCAUGACGGUACCGUAAGAAUAAGCACCGGCUAACUACGUGCCAGCCGCCGCAGUAA
RNAcentral lists this ribosomal RNA (498 nucleotides) under uncultured bacterium. RNAcentral's name for it is "partial 16S ribosomal RNA". It matches the Rfam family "Bacterial small subunit ribosomal RNA", at positions 30 to 523 of the family's 1533-position model. The record is from RNAcentral.